UACGGAGGGAGCUAGCGUUGUUCGGAUAUACUGGGCGUAAAGCGCACGUAGGCGGUUGCUAGAUCAGGGGUGAAAUCCCGGAGCUCAACUCCAGAACUGCCUUUGAUACUGAGGAUCUUGAGUUCGGGAGAGGUGAGUGGAACUGCGAGUGUAGAGGUGAAAUUCGUAGAUAUUCGCAAGAACACCAGUGGCGAAGGCGGCUCACUGGCCCGAUACUGACGCUGAGGCACGAAAAGCGUGGGGAGCAAACAGGG
RNAcentral lists this ribosomal RNA (254 nucleotides) under uncultured bacterium. RNAcentral's name for it is "partial 16S ribosomal RNA". It matches the Rfam family "Bacterial small subunit ribosomal RNA", at positions 524 to 777 of the family's 1533-position model. The record is from RNAcentral.